UAGGGAAUCUUCGGCAAUGGACGAAAGUCUGACCGAGCAACGCCGCGUGAGUGAAGAAGGUUUUCGGAUCGUAAAACUCUGUUGUUAGAGAAGAACAAGGACGUUAGUAACUGAACGUCCCCUGACGGUAUCUAACCAGAAAGCCACGGCUAACUACGUGCCAGCAGCCGCGGUAAUACGUAGGUGGCAAGCGUUGUCCGGAUUUAUUGGGCGUAAAGCGAGCGCAGGCGGUUUCUUAAGUCUGAUGUGAAAGCCCCCGGCUCAACCGGGGAGGGUCAUUGGAAACGGGGAGACUUGAGUGCAGAAGAGGGGAGUGGAAUUCCAUGUGUAGCGGUGAAAUGCGUAGAUAUAUGGAGGAACACCAGUGGCGAAGGCGGCUCUCUGGUCUGUAACAGACGCUGAGGCUAGAAAGCGUGGGGAGCAAACAGG
Molecule: ribosomal RNA, 429 nt
Filed under: Gemmatimonadota bacterium
Lineage: Bacteria; Pseudomonadati; Gemmatimonadota
Description: Gemmatimonadetes bacterium partial 16S ribosomal RNA
Rfam family: Bacterial small subunit ribosomal RNA
Source: RNAcentral